GGUACUCGGUAGGGUGGCUGGAUGCCCCCUAGCUCAAAGGUCCGCCGCCACAGGAUGGGUCUGCGGCCGAUUAGGUUGUUGUUGGGGUAACGGCCCAACAAGCCUUUGAUCGGUACGGGUUGUGGGAGCAAGAGCCCGGAGAUGGAUUCUGAGACACGAAUCCAGGCCCUACGGGGCGCAGCAGGCGCGAAAACUUUACAAUGCGAGAAAUCGUGAUAAGGGAACCCCGAGUGCCCGUAAAUUCGGGCUGUCCGCCAGUGCAAAAAACUGGUGAAGAAAGAGCCGGGCAAGACCGGUGCCAGCCGCCGCGGUAAUACCGGCGGCUCGAGUGGUGGCCACUAUUACUGGGCUUAAAGCGUCCGUAGCUUGGUUGUUAAGUCUCCUGGGAAAUCCAUCGGCUCAACCGAUGGGCGUUCAGGAGAUACUGGCAACCUAGGGACCGGGAGAGGUGAGAGGUACUCCAGGGGUAGGAGUGAAAUCCUGUAAUCCUUGGGGGACCACCUGUGGCGAAGGCGUCUCACUAGAACGGCUCCGACAGUGAGGGACGAAAGCUGGGGGAGCAAACCGGAUUAGAUACCCGGGUAGUCCCAGCUGUAAACGAUGCGCGUUAGGUGUAUCGGUGACCACGAGUCACCGAGGUGCCGAAGGGA
RNAcentral lists this ribosomal RNA (650 nucleotides) under uncultured archaeon. RNAcentral's name for it is "bacterial SSU rRNA". It matches the Rfam family "Archaeal small subunit ribosomal RNA", at positions 153 to 809 of the family's 1478-position model. The record is from RNAcentral.